This 75-nucleotide transfer RNA is filed under the name bacterium. RNAcentral's name for it is "tRNA-Gly". It matches the Rfam family "tRNA". Rfam says of the family: Transfer RNA (tRNA) molecules are approximately 80 nucleotides in length. Their secondary structure includes four short double-helical elements and three loops (D, anti-codon, and T loops). Further hydrogen bonds mediate the characteristic L-shaped molecular structure. tRNAs have two regions of fundamental functional importance: the anti-codon, which is responsible for specific mRNA codon recognition, and the 3' end, to which the tRNAs corresponding amino acid is attached (by aminoacyl-tRNA synthetases). tRNAs cope with the degeneracy of the genetic code in two manners: having more than one tRNA (with a specific anti-codon) for a particular amino acid; and 'wobble' base-pairing, i.e. permitting non-standard base-pairing at the 3rd anti-codon position. The record is from RNAcentral.
GCGGGUAUCGUAUAACGGCUAUUAUGGCUCCUUGCCAAGGAGCAAACUGGGGUUCGACUCCCCAUACCCGCACCA